GGGAGAAAGAGAGCUCACAUGCUAAAAAUUGGAAUGAUACUGAGAAAAGUAUCAUGGCUUCUGUGCAGGGAGGACACCCCAAUUAGUGAAGUGUUCCACAUUUUU
This is a small nuclear RNA of Dipodomys ordii (Ord's kangaroo rat), 105 nucleotides long. The record is from Ensembl. Lineage: Eukaryota; Metazoa; Chordata; Mammalia; Rodentia; Heteromyidae.